Non-coding RNA from Doryrhamphus excisus (bluestripe pipefish), 790 nucleotides. The record is from RefSeq and is a predicted model, not a curated record. NCBI's taxonomy places the organism in Eukaryota, Metazoa, Chordata, Actinopteri, Syngnathiformes, Syngnathidae.
UCCUUGGAGACGCCAUCGGCGCAGCCGUCAAAGUAUUUCUGCAGCGUGUCCACCUGUCUGCACAGGAUGUCUCUGAAGGUCUCCAUCUCCGCCAGCUUCUCUCGCAGGCUGUGGCCCUUCUAGAAGGAAGACAACGUGAUCAGAUUGAGCUCCGGCUGCUGUGAGGGGUCAACAUGGACGGGACUUUGGUGUCACUGCACAUCCACGGUGAAGUCACUGCAGAAGGUCACCUUGAAGGAGGAGGUAGAGGUGGCCGAGUAGCCGCUGGCGGCUGACGUGAGGGACAGCAUGGAGCCAUGUCGUCGCAGGCUGGACUCGGAACCAUAGCCGGGGUCAGCCUGGAAAGAAGAGAUGCUCAGACAGGGGCCAGAGAAGCUUGUGCAACCAUGGCAACAACAGCGCUUCAUCUGCCUGUGCCCCCUUAAGAGACACUACCACGUUGCACCACCAGGAGGCAGUAAAAGCACAGACAUGUGACCAAGAUGGUAACCCUGACGACGUGGUGGAACUGUGUACCAGAUCCAGACCCCAGAUUAAUCCCGGCUGGGGCCUGUGACGUCAACUGGACUUUGUAUGAUGGCGCAAGCUCAACAAGAGACAGGACUGCCACACCCCCCGACGUGGUCGUGUCAGAAACUCGCAUUCAUGAAAUGAAGAGUUACAGCAGAGCGCUCCUGUCACACAGAGGAUCUUUGACUGGCUUUCUUUGCAGUAAGUGCUGAAGAAACAGCAGAGCAGUCCUUUUAAAUAGAGGAUCUUUGCUGAGAAUUAUUAUUUUUUUGCAACAGAC